AUGAGAGUUGUGUCUUAUAACUCCCGUGGUCCGCGACUUGGACAGGGCACUGGAGCGAGAGCCCAACGCAUUGUUAUUGACAAACUCUUUGAGCAUGCGGAUGUGGUUUGUUGUCUGGAUAAACUGAACACUGUGCAUAAUGAUUUCCACGGAGCAGGGGAAUCUACGACAGACCUUAACACCAGAAUUCUGCGUGGCAGGAUCCCAGGUGGUGUGGCUAUAUUCUGGCAUAAGAAACUUGACUCAUUGGUCACCGUGAUCAGGUUAGAUGUGGAUUGGUGCGUAGGAAUCAAGGUGGUGCAGGAUAAGAAUGUUUUUAUAAUCUUAAAUGUAUACACUCCAUAUGAAUGUCACAAAAAUGAAGAUGAGUACUUGAAUAAGCUUGCUUUUAUUGGGUCUUAUAUAAGGGAAAGUGAGUAUACAUCCAUAUUUGUCUUGGGGGAUCUGAAUGCUGAUAUAUCAGAUACUAACUCAUUGUUUGGUCAACACCUGACACAAUUCUGCAAAGAUAACAAGGUGAUUCUGUCCAGUAAGGAACUAUUGCCAGCUGAUAGUUAUACACAUGUGAGUGAAGCUUGGCAUACUACAUCCUGGUUGGACCACUGUAUGUCUACAUUUGAUGCACAUGCUUGUAUAGAGGAGGCUGAGAUCUUAUAUGGUAUGGCCACUGGAGAUCAUAUUCCGGUCUCUAUGUUCAUUAACAUCAAGGGCCUACCUGAGCUUGUCUCUAAUGACAGCCAUAAACCAAGUGAGAUGCUGGACUGGGCUAGGCUCACAGAUGUUGACCUGCAAUAUUACAAGUUACUGACUGAUGUGUACUUAAGAAUUAUUGAGUUACCUGUUGAUGCAAUUAUGUGUGGGAAUAUCAACUGUAAGAAUGUAAGUCAUAAUAAUGACCUGGGUGCAAUGUAUGAUAAAAUUGUGAACUGUCUAGUUGUUGGAAGUGAACCACUGACAAGAAAGGGGGUGAAACAACAUAUUGUGAGACCAGGGUGGAAUGACUAUGUUCAUGAAGUUCAUAUGGAGGCAAAAGAUGCUUUUAGAAGAUGGGUUUUAGCAGGCAAACCGAGGCAUGGCCCAGUCUGUGAGCACAAGGUACGGACUAAUGCUAGAUUUAAAUAUGCUGUGCGUUUUAUAAAAAGAAACGAGCAGACUAUGAGGGCGAACUCUAUGGCGAAAAAGUUACAAAUUAAUAAUGUAUAUGAGUUCUGGAAGGAGGUGAAGGUGGUAAACAACAGCAAGAUGCCACUGCCUUCUAGCAUUGAUGGCAUUACUGAACCUGAAAACAUUGCAGAGCUAUGGAGGAGACACUGA
Molecule: long non-coding RNA, 1314 nt
Filed under: Gadus morhua (Atlantic cod)
Lineage: Eukaryota; Metazoa; Chordata; Actinopteri; Gadiformes; Gadidae
Description: lncRNA (ENSGMOG00000023437.1)
Source: RNAcentral